This is a long non-coding RNA of Cyprinus carpio (common carp), 1822 nucleotides long. Lineage: Eukaryota; Metazoa; Chordata; Actinopteri; Cypriniformes; Cyprinidae. The record is from Ensembl.
AUGAUGCUUGAUCUGUGCCUAUUUCCAAAUAAUGCAGAGAUCCGUCUUCUUUACUGUGAAACACUAAAACAAUACAAACAUACACUCAGAACCAAAAAAGCACAAUACACCCAAAAACAACUCACAAUAAUUGAGAAGUCAGUGAACACAAACCAGUUCUGGAAUAAUUGGAACAAUCUGAAAAAAACUGAUCGUGAAGAAUUGGCAAUCCAAAAUGGAGAAAUAUGGGAAAGUCAUUUCCAAACAUUGUUUAAUAAAGUACAAACAGACACAAACUGUAAACAAAAUCAAACAAUCAACCAAUUGGGAAAACUAGAAUUAGCAAUCAAAGAUAACCAAAACCCAUUAGAUUUCACAAUAACUGAUAAAGAACUUAAGGUGGAGGUCAGGAGGGUUGACUAUGGAGAUGUUGUUUGCGUCUCUCUUUGGGAUGUUAAGGAACUGUGUGGAGAAGCAGCAUCCAUACCUGUGCAAGCGCUGCAGGUCUCUCUGGUGAACGUGAGGCCAGUGAAUGGAGAAACAUGGUCUUUUGAAACGAUCAGCUGGUUCAAGAGUAAAGUGCAGAACAAGACUCUUUAUGCCAGGCUUUACCCAGAAGAAGGAGAAGUUUUGGUUGAGCUCUUCAUGGAGAAGGGAAAGAUUGGUGCUAUGAGGAGAGGAGACUCUCUGUCUGUGAGACUUGCUCAGAAUAGAUUUGCCAUUCAUGAAUGUAACAAACCCAGGGGUCGGAAGAGAAGAAGUGAUGUCCCAGAACAAACCAGACAGCAGUCGUUACAGUGGGAGAAGUAUCUGAUCUCCUGUUACAGUCACAACAGAGAAUAAUGUUCAGUGAUCAGAAAACUCACAUGCUUUUGUCAUUCAUCAUUACAUCAUAACCUUAUACACACUUCACAAUAUCUACUGUAACUAUGCAGAUUUCAUAGUCUGGAGUAUUUGGUGUACAGUUUGUGAACACUGUACAUUUGUUACAAGAUAGAUUGUAUUACAGAAAAUAUUUGAUGAUGUUCGUCGCUGUGGAAUGUGUUCUUUUUGGUUUAGAUAAUUCAUAAUUAAAAAUAACCAGGAAUUGUAAAAUAGAAGCUUGUCUUGUUUCUAAGAAUUUUAGAGUUUACUUUGUGUGUUCUGUUGUUCUUUGGAAAAAUACUGAAAUAUGUACUGUUCUUUGUUUGUUAGUUAACUCUGGCUGGGCAAACUUUACUGUAAUUUUACUCUGGAGCACAUUAACACUUUUAAAACGCUUGACAUGAACGUGUAAAUAUGCACUUGAAGUGCUGAUUAAGAGACACUGUCUGUUCAUGAAGUGCUGAAAGAUCUUUUAAUGGCUUCUCUGUUCAGUGCCUGUUUAGAAAACCUGCAUAUUUGAUUUACGACACGUCGUCUUUUGCAGAUCUGCCAACAAAAACAUGCGUGUCUUUAAAAUAGUUCAAUACAAUUGCACCCUUGGCUACAGUUUUUGUAUACUUUUUUUUUUUUGUAUACAUAAUUUUUGUGUUACUCAUAGUAGUCUAUACACGUUACACACUGCUCUGUGCUGAGCAUUGUUGGGGAAGUUACUCAGAAAUCUAGUUACUAUUAAUAGUUAUUUUCAUGUUACUGUGAAGUGUAUCCUCACUGUUUUGCAAGGUUGUCAAUGUCCAGAACUGUCCCACUUGAAACACCCCACUACAAGAAGAUUUCACUCAUUGACCACACUUUUGCUCUCCUUUUUCCCUUUUUUUAUUAUGAAAGUUUGAUGCAGUGUUCAUUUGGUCAAUCGAUCAAUCAGUCAGGUGGAAAACCUUUAAACAAAUACAAACACCACUUUAAGAGCAAGCACAAGUAG